AGAGUUUGAUCAUGGCUCAGGAUGAACGCUAGCUACAGGCUUAACACAUGCAAGUCGAGGGGCAGCAUGGGAUUAGCUUGCUAAUCCUGAUGGCGACCGGCGCACGGGUGAGUAACGCGUAUCCAACCUUCCCUAUAGUAGAGGAUAGCCCGGCGAAAGUCGGAUUAAUACUCUAUGUUAUUCGACGAGGACAUCUGAAAUGAAUCAAAGGUUUACCGCUAUAGGAUGGGGAUGCGUCUGAUUAGGUUGUUGGCGGGGUAACGGCCCACCAAGCCGUCGAUCAGUAGGGGUUCUGAGAGGAAGGUCCCCCACAUUGGAACUGAGACACGGUCCAAACUCCUACGGGAGGCAGCAGUGAGAAAUAUUGGUCAAUGGGCGAGAGCCUGAACCAGACAAGUAGCGUGCAGGAUGACGGCCCUAUGGGUUGUAAACUGCUUUUAUCGGGGGAUAAAGUGCGGGACGUGUCCCGUUUUGUAGGUACCCGAUGAAUAAGGACCGGCUAAUUCCGUGCCAGCAGCCGCGGUAAUACGGAAGGUCCGGGCGUUAUCCGGAUUUAUUGGGUUUAAAGGGAGCGCAGGCCGGAGGUCAAGCGUGACGUGAAAUGUAGCCGCUCAACGGCUGAACUGCGUCGCGAACUGGCUUUCUUGAGUGAGUUCGAUGUGGGCGGAAUUCGUGGUGUAGCGGUGAAAUGCUUAGAUAUCACGAAGAACUCCGAUUGCGAAGGCAGCCCACAAGGCCUUUACUGACGCUAAAGCUCGAAGGUGCGGGUAUCGAACAGGAUUAGAUACCCUGGUAGUCCGCACGGUAAACGAUGGAUGCCCGCUGUUUGCGAUAUACUGUGAGCGGCCAAGAGAAAUCGUUAAGCAUCCCACCUGGGGAGUACGCCGGCAACGGUGAAACUCAAAGGAAUUGACGGGGGCCCGCACAAGCGGAGGAACAUGUGGUUUAAUUCGAUGAUACGCGAGGAACCUUACCUGGACUCAAAUGUUGAGUGACCGUUCCGGAGACGGGACUUCCCUUCGGGGCGCUCAGCAAGGUGCUGCAUGGUUGUCGUCAGCUCGUGCCGUGAGGUGUCAGGUUAAGUCCUAUAACGAGCGCAACCCCUACGUCCAGUUGCCAGCGGGUGAUGCCGGGGACUCUGGAGGGACUGCCGGCGCAAGCCGAGAGGAAGGUGGGGAUGACGUCAAAUCAGCACGGCCCUUACGUCCAGGGCGACACACGUGCUACAAUGGCCGGUACAGAGGGCAGCCACCUGGCGACAGGGAGCGAAUCUCGAAAGCCGGUCUCAGUUCGGAUCGGAGUCUGCAACUCGACUCCGUGAAGUUGGAUUCGCUAGUAAUCGCGCAUCAGCCAUGGCGCGGUGAAUACGUUCCCGGGCCUUGUACACACCGCCCGUCAAGCCAUGAAAGUCCGGGGUACCUGAAGUCCGUGACCGCGAGGAGCGGCCUAGGGUAAAACGGGUGAUUGGGGCUAAGUCGUAACAAGGUAACCGUA
Molecule: ribosomal RNA, 1494 nt
Filed under: uncultured rumen bacterium
Lineage: Bacteria
Description: bacterial SSU rRNA
Rfam family: Bacterial small subunit ribosomal RNA
Source: RNAcentral